UCAAGUGUGAGGUAAGGGCAUUUGGUGGAUGCCUUGGCGCAUACAGGCGAUGAAGGACGUGGCACGCUGCGAUAAGCUGCGGUGAGGUGUGAGCAACCUUUGACCCGCAGAUUUCCGAAUGGGGAAACCCACUCAUCCCGAUUAUCUAGCUUUCGGGCUAGGUAAUUGGGGUCCGAGUAUCACUUAGCUGAAUAAAAUAGGCUUCGUGAAGCGAACCCGGCGAACUGAAACAUCUCAGUACCCGGAGGAAAAGACAUCAACCGAGAUUCCGUUAGUAGUGGCGAGCGAACGCGGACCAGGCC
Molecule: ribosomal RNA, 302 nt
Filed under: Bradyrhizobium sp. 05LoH6_16
Lineage: Bacteria; Pseudomonadati; Pseudomonadota; Alphaproteobacteria; Hyphomicrobiales; Nitrobacteraceae
Description: bacterial LSU rRNA
Rfam family: Bacterial large subunit ribosomal RNA
Source: RNAcentral